GUGUUGUAUGAAAAGAGAGGUUAGAACUCCCCUUGACAAGGAUGGAAGAGGCUCUGGGACCUGACAACAUGCAUACAGUUAAGGCAUUGCCACCUACUUCGUGGCCUCUAACCAUUGUUUUUU
Small nuclear RNA from Marmota marmota marmota (Alpine marmot), 123 nucleotides. NCBI's taxonomy places the organism in Eukaryota, Metazoa, Chordata, Mammalia, Rodentia, Sciuridae. The record is from Ensembl.